RNAcentral lists this ribosomal RNA (253 nucleotides) under uncultured bacterium. RNAcentral describes it as "partial 16S ribosomal RNA". It matches the Rfam family "Bacterial small subunit ribosomal RNA", at positions 524 to 776 of the family's 1533-position model. The record is from RNAcentral.
UACGUAGGGUGCAAGCGUUAAUCGGAAUUACUGGGCGUAAAGCGUGCGCAGGCGGAUAUGUAAGUUAGAUGUGAAAUACCCGAGCUCAACUUGGGAAUGGCAUUUAAGACUGCAUGUCUAGAGUUUGUCAGAGGGGGGUAGAAUUCCAAGUGUAGCAGUGAAAUGCGUAGAGAUUUGGAGGAAUACCGGUGGCGAAGGCGGCCCCCUGGGAUAGAACUGACGCUCAUGCACGAAAGCGUGGGUAGCAAACAGG